RNAcentral lists this transfer RNA (71 nucleotides) under Marmota monax (woodchuck). Its description in RNAcentral is "tRNA.Ala". Lineage: Eukaryota; Metazoa; Chordata; Mammalia; Rodentia; Sciuridae. The record is from RNAcentral.
GGGGUUGUGACUCAGUGGCAGAGUGCUCACCUAGCAUGUGUGAGGCACUGGGUUCAAUCCUCAAAAUCACA